ACUGCUGCCCAAGAGUCUAUUAAAGACCGUUUCCAAGACCAAACCAUGUCAUCCACAGUCUCUAUUGAAGAGACCAGAGAGAGACCAGAAGUCCAGUCCUGCAAUAUAACAUCAGGCAGGUCUGCUUGUGAGCAAAAUAGUGCAAGCAUCCCUUCUGGCCAACACUCCGUUUCAGAGCUUGGUGACCACGCCCAUGACUUGGAACCCAAUGUUUUCUCUACAGACUUAUUCAGAG
Cyprinus carpio (common carp) is the source of this 235-nucleotide long non-coding RNA. RefSeq lists it as uncharacterized. The transcript is spliced from 3 exons. NCBI's taxonomy places the organism in Eukaryota, Metazoa, Chordata, Actinopteri, Cypriniformes, Cyprinidae. The record is from RefSeq and is a predicted model, not a curated record.